AAAUUCCAUGAGCGGUCACAACAAGCAACCUCUGACAAAACUCCUUCUACUUCUAUUUGAAGUGAAAAUGAUAGAUCAGACACCUUAUCGAUAGCAACAGCUCAUGGUCCUCCUGGAAUCAGGAGUUUAUUUGACUCAAUGGAGGAACGUAGUCAGAGAAAUGCUGAUGAAUGUCUUGCUUGAGCUGUGUAUGAAACUAGUUCACCUCUGAUGCUCACAGGGAAUGUGUAUUGGAAGAGAUUUCAGAAUGUUCUUCGCCCAGCAUACAGCCCUCCAACCAGACAUGCUUUAUCUACUCAUUUGCUGGAUGCAGAGUUCAACAGAGUUCAAGUGAAGGUCAAGCAAAUCAUAGAGAAAGCAGACUGUAUUGCAAUCAUCUCUGAUGGGUGGUCGAAUGUUCGUGGGCAAGGAAUAAUUAAUUACAUCAUCGCCACCUCUCAACCAGUAUUCUACAAGAGCACAGACACGAGGGACAACAGACACACCAGUCUCUACACUGCAGAUGAGCUGAAUGCAGUCAUCAAUGACCUUGGACCAGAGAAGGUAUUUCCACUGGUGACAGACAAUGCUGCAAACAUGAAGGCUGCUUGGUCUAAAGUGGAGGAGUCCUACCCUCACAUCACACCCAUUGGCUGUGCUGCUCAUGCAUUGAAUCUGCUCCUCAAUGACAUCAUGGCACUGAAAACAAUGGAUACAGCGACCUGUUGAUGAGCCAAGGAAAUGGUUAGGUAUGUGAAGGGUCAUCAAGUUAUGGCAGAAAUCUACCUCACCAAGCAAAGUGAAAAGAAUAAGAGAACCACUUUGAAGCUGCCCAGCAACACACGUUGGGGUGGUGUUGUCAUCAUGUUUGACAGUCUCCUGGAGGGAAAGGUGUCUCUCAAAGAAAUGGCCAUAUCACAGUCUGCCGAUAUGGACAGCCCCAUCAAGAGGAUCCAUCUGGAUGUAUUUUGGGAGAGAGUGAAAGUUUCCACCUCUGAAUAUUCCCCAAAAUGUGCAACCCUACUCACCACAAAGCUCAAGGCCCUGGGACUGAACUCCUUCCUAUGCAACUGGGUCCUGGACUUCCGGAUGGGCCACCCCCGGGUGAUGACGAUAGGCAACAUUAACCCCGCCACAAUGAUCCUCAACAUGGAGGCCCCACAACGUUGUUUCCUCAGUCCCCUCCUGUACUCCCUGUAUACCCACUACUGCAUGGCUUCACACAGUUCCAACUCCAUCAAGUUCCCCGAAGACUCGACAGUAGUAGUCCUGAUUACCAACAACCUCAGGAGGCAAAAGAAAUUCAAAAUGUCCCAGAGUGCCCUCAAUGUUCUACAGAAGCACCAUUGAGAGCAUACUGACGGGCUGCAUCACAUCACUGCAGCUCCACCGCUACUGAACAUUUGUAAACAUGAGUAUAUUAUUAUUAUUUUUGUAUUAUUGUUUCAUUCACACUCUUGGAGCUUUAGUAUUUCACUGUACACUGCAACUACAUCUGCGACCCUGUGCAUGUGACAAAAUAAAAACAAUCUAAAUCUUAACUAAUGUAAUCUGCUGCCCCUCUCAUUGAGUAUCUCAAAAUGAAGACGACCGGGGUACUGCAGGCUGCCAUUAUCAACUCAAUGAUCCUUUUUACUUCGUCUGUGUGCGACUUUAAAGUAAUUGGUUAAGGAAAUACAUCUGGUGAAAUAGAAGCAAUUAUUUGUACCACGAUUGUGUUCGAUUUGUUUUUAUAGACGGAUAUCCACGAAUAUUGACCACGAAGUUCGCCAUUACCCCAUUCACUAUAAUUUCACAAUGUAAU
This is a long non-coding RNA of Oncorhynchus tshawytscha (Chinook salmon), 1783 nucleotides long. The record is from Ensembl. NCBI's taxonomy places the organism in Eukaryota, Metazoa, Chordata, Actinopteri, Salmoniformes, Salmonidae.